This 468-nucleotide ribosomal RNA is filed under the name uncultured bacterium. RNAcentral's name for it is "partial 16S ribosomal RNA". It matches the Rfam family "Bacterial small subunit ribosomal RNA", at positions 28 to 507 of the family's 1533-position model. The record is from RNAcentral.
GACGAACGCUGGCGGCGUGCUUAACACAUGCAAGUCGAACGGAAAGGCCCUGCUUUUGUGGGGUGCUCGAGUGGCGAACGGGUGAGUAACACGUGAGUAACCUGCCCUUGACUUUGGGAUAACUUCAGGAAACUGGGGCUAAUACCGGAUAGGAGCUCCUGCUGCAUGGUGGGGGUUGGAAAGUUUCGGCGGUUGGGGAUGGACUCGCGGCUUAUCGGCUUGUUGGUGGGGUAGUGGCUUACCAAGGCUUUGACGGGUAGCCGGCCUGAGAGGGUGACCGGCCACAUUGGGACUGAGAUACGGCGCAGACUCCUACGGGAGGCAGCAGUGGGGAAUAUUGCACAAUGGGCGGAAGCCUGAUGCAGCAACGCCGCGUGCGGGAUGACGGCCUUCGGGUUGUAAACCGCUUUCGCCUGUGACGAAGCGUGAGUGACGGUAAUGGGUAAAGAAGCACCGGCUAACUACGUG